This 901-nucleotide long non-coding RNA is filed under the name Vitis vinifera (wine grape). Its description in RNAcentral is "long non-coding RNA (VVIN_LNC006179)". Lineage: Eukaryota; Viridiplantae; Streptophyta; Magnoliopsida; Vitales; Vitaceae. The record is from RNAcentral.
CUCUUUUCAAGCCUUAAAAUUCUCUAUGUGCCUAGCCACUUCCACGCUCCUCCUCUGGCCCAUUAUUUUCUCUUUUCUUUCAGUACUCCCAUGACCCACUCCCCCCACAAUCAAUGCCUAUCCUUGGCUCAAAUCUCAUCUCGUUUCAGGUUUUCUCUGGGUUUUCCUUUCCUAUUGUUUCAUCUGGGUUUUUCUAGCUUUAGGUUUUCGGCCUUUUGGGAGAAUGGAGGAGUUCGCUGAAGGGUUUUUCGUUUCUUUUGGUGUAAGUUGAAUUUUCAUUGUUUUUUAAGGGUUUAUGAAGUUUGCUUUCGUGUUUUUUUAUUUUUAUUUUUUUUGAAUUUUUAUUUUAUCACCUCUAUCUAUUUUAUUAAGUCAUCCAUGUCGAUUUCUCAUGUCUAUUUGGUUGCUGAGAAAAUUGGGGGAAGUUUUUGGAUGAACUUUUGUCGAUCAUCUCUAUCUAUUUUAUUAAUUCAUCGAUGUCAAUUUCUCAUGUCGGAGAAAAUUGGGGGAAGUUUUUUUUCUCUUUUUUAUUAAGUCAUUAAUGUCAAUUUCUCAUGUCUGUUUGGUUGCCGAGAAAAUUGGGAGAAGGUUUUUUUCUCCAUUUUUUUAACCUUUUCAAACAAAAAGCAGUUUGUAGAUUGAGUUUAGAAGGGAAAUAAAACAUCAAAAACUUAAAAAUAAAAAUAUAACCUGGAAUAGCGCUGAAGAACACGUAUGCAACAAUAUGACAAAGUUGAGAGGCAGAAAAACAACUAUUGAUUAAUAUAAGUCCAUCAAACUCGGCCCAUUAUAUAUAAACUUAUCCAAACCCAACCAAUUGUUAAUUAAUAUAAAUUUUUAUAUAAGGCCCGUCAAGCCCAACUCAUGAUUUAUACAAAAUUAAUCUAAAACUUAUUCUUUU